CCUGCUAUGCAAUCCCUUGGAUACAUCUUAUCGAGGGAGUAGAUAAAUCGCUCAUUACGGAGGCCUAUCUUUGGGGCCGAUAUAGCGACAGCUUCAUCCAAGUUGUGCACCUCUAAUGUGGCUGCAUUGAAGUGCACAGCAUGUUAGAAUACAGAUAGAGUAGCAUGCAUAGAUUUCAAAAUAAUUUUGAAAUAGCAACAGAAAUGGAUCUAAGUUAAAUCCUUUAACCUCACAUGCAAUAG
RNAcentral lists this long non-coding RNA (242 nucleotides) under Elaeis guineensis (African oil palm). Its description in RNAcentral is "long non-coding RNA (EGUI_LNC037697)". Lineage: Eukaryota; Viridiplantae; Streptophyta; Magnoliopsida; Arecales; Arecaceae. The record is from RNAcentral.